This 45-nucleotide transfer RNA is filed under the name Cercopithecus cephus cephus. Its description in RNAcentral is "partial tRNA-Leu". The record is from RNAcentral. Lineage: Eukaryota; Metazoa; Chordata; Mammalia; Primates; Cercopithecidae.
GUUAAGAUGGCAGAGCCCGGUAAUUGCGUAAAAUUUAAGACUUUA